Molecule: ribosomal RNA, 96 nt
Filed under: uncultured bacterium
Lineage: Bacteria
Description: partial 16S ribosomal RNA
Rfam family: Bacterial small subunit ribosomal RNA
Source: RNAcentral
CGCCGCGUGAGCGAUGAAGCCCUUCGGGGUGUAAAGCUCUUUCGACGGGAACGAUAAUGACGGUACCCGGAGAAGAAGCUGCGGCUAACUACGUGC